CUAAGCCAUGCGAGUCUUUGUAGUAAUACAAGGCAGACGGCUCAGUAACACGUAGUCAACCUACCCUAUGGACAAGAAUAAUCUCGGGAAACUGGGCAUAAUUCUUGAUAGAUCAUAAUGCCUGGAAUGGUUUAUGGUUAAAAUGAUUCGUCGCCAUAGGAUGGGACUGCGGCCUAUCAGCUUGUUGGUGAGGUAAUGGCCCACCAAGGCGAUUACAGGUACGGGCUCUGAGAGGAGAAGCCCGGAGAUGGGUACUGAGACACGGACCCAGGCCCUAUGGGGCGCAGCAGGCGAGAAAACUUUGCAAUGUGCGAAAGCACGACAAGGUUAAUCCGAGUGAUUUCUGCUAAAGAAAUCUUUUGCCAGUCGUAAAACCGCUGGUGAAUAAGGGGUGGGCAAGUUCUGGUGUCAGCCGCCGCGGUAAAACCAGCACCUCAAGUGGUCAGGAUGAUUAUUGGGCCUAAAGCAUCCGUAGCCGGCUUUGUUAGUUUUCGGUUAAAUCCAUGUGCUCAACGCAUGGGCUGCCGAAAAUACUGCAUGGCUAGGGAGUGGGAGAGGUAGACGGUACUCAGUAGGAAGGGGUAAAAUCCUUUGAUCUAUUGAUGACCACCUGUGGCGAAGGCGGUCUACCAGAACACGUUCGACGGUGAGGGAUGAAAGCUGGGGGAGCAAACCGGAUUAGAUACCCGGGUAGU
Molecule: ribosomal RNA, 695 nt
Filed under: uncultured prokaryote
Description: bacterial SSU rRNA
Rfam family: Archaeal small subunit ribosomal RNA
Source: RNAcentral